RNAcentral lists this transfer RNA (73 nucleotides) under Bacteroidota bacterium. RNAcentral's name for it is "tRNA-Val". It matches the Rfam family "tRNA". Rfam says of the family: Transfer RNA (tRNA) molecules are approximately 80 nucleotides in length. Their secondary structure includes four short double-helical elements and three loops (D, anti-codon, and T loops). Further hydrogen bonds mediate the characteristic L-shaped molecular structure. tRNAs have two regions of fundamental functional importance: the anti-codon, which is responsible for specific mRNA codon recognition, and the 3' end, to which the tRNAs corresponding amino acid is attached (by aminoacyl-tRNA synthetases). tRNAs cope with the degeneracy of the genetic code in two manners: having more than one tRNA (with a specific anti-codon) for a particular amino acid; and 'wobble' base-pairing, i.e. permitting non-standard base-pairing at the 3rd anti-codon position. Lineage: Bacteria; Pseudomonadati; Bacteroidota. The record is from RNAcentral.
GGGCCCUUAGCUCAGUGGUUAGAGCGCUCGCCUCACACGCGAGAGGUCACAGGUUCGAAUCUUGUAGGGCCCA